AGAGUUUGAUCAUGGCUCAGAUUGAACGCUGGCGGCAGGCCUAACACAUGCAAGUCGGACGGUAGCACAGAGGAGCUUGCUCCUUGGGUGACGAGUGGCGGACGGGUGAGUAAUGUCUGGGGAUCUGCCCGAUAGAGGGGGAUAACCACUGGAAACGGUGGCUAAUACCGCAUAACGUCGCAAGACCAAAGAGGGGGACCUUCGGGCCUCUCACUAUCGGAUGAACCCAGAUGGGAUUAGCUAGUAGGCGGGGUAAUGGCCCACCUAGGCGACGAUCCCUAGCUGGUCUGAGAGGAUGACCAGCCACACUGGAACUGAGACACGGUCCAGACUCCUACGGGAGGCAGCAGUGGGGAAUAUUGCACAAUGGGCGCAAGCCUGAUGCAGCCAUGCCGCGUGUAUGAAGAAGGCCUUCGGGUUGUAAAGUACUUUCAGCGGGGAGGAAGGCGGUGCGGUUAAUAACCGCGCCGAUUGACGUUACCCGCAGAAGAAGCACCGGCUAACUCCGUGCCAGCAGCCGCGGUAAUACGGAGGGUGCAAGCGUUAAUCGGAAUUACUGGGCGUAAAGCGCACGCAGGCGGUCUGUUAAGUCAGAUGUGAAAUCCCCGGGCUUAACCUGGGAACUGCAUUUGAAACUGGCAGGCUUGAGUCUCGUAGAGGGGGGUAGAAUUCCAGGUGUAGCGGUGAAAUGCGUAGAGAUCUGGAGGAAUACCGGUGG
This 718-nucleotide ribosomal RNA is filed under the name uncultured bacterium. Its description in RNAcentral is "bacterial SSU rRNA". It matches the Rfam family "Bacterial small subunit ribosomal RNA", at positions 8 to 715 of the family's 1533-position model. The record is from RNAcentral.